Molecule: long non-coding RNA, 793 nt
Organism: Cyprinus carpio carpio
Lineage: Eukaryota; Metazoa; Chordata; Actinopteri; Cypriniformes; Cyprinidae
Source: Ensembl
CUCAAUCAAGAGUGUUAAUGGUCUGUUUGAGAGAUAGGUGGUGGUAAUGCACUUAUAAGUCUGCGAUCCACUAUAAAGCAAGCAAGAAGAAGAUCGUUUUGUGUCUUUACACAUCAAUGUAUCGUCACAAGCCGCAGGAUUUAAUUUGGAUUUUUCUGUGCAUGUUUUUUUUUUCUCUCAUUGAUUCUGUGACCAUUGCCAUGCAUUGUACUGCUGAGAGACUGCAACGACUGAAGCUAAAAAUCAUCAUUUGUGUUCUACUGAAGAAACAAAGUCACCUGCAUCUUGGAUGCCCUGGGGGUCACCUUAGCCACCAGAUCCAGUCUGUAUCCAGAUCAGAGGGUCACUGCAGUCACCCGGAUCCAGUACGUAUCCAGACCAGAUGGUGGAUCGGCACCUAGAAAGGAUCUCUACAGUCCUGAAAGACAGCGGAGACCAGGACAACUAGAGCUCCAGAGACAGAUCCCCUGUAAAGACCUUGUCUCAGACGGCCACCGGGACAAAACAGAUGAUUCUUCUGCACAAUCUGACUUUGCUGCAGCCUGGAAUUGAACUGCUGGUUUCAUCUGGCCAGAGGAGAACUGGCCCCCCGACUGAGCCUGGUUUCUCCCAAGGUUUUUUCUCCAUUCUGUCACCGAUGGAGUUUUGGUUCCUUGCCGCUGUUGCCUCUGACUUGCUUAGUUGGGGACACUUCAUUUACAGCGAUAUCAUUGACUUGAUUGCAAAUGAUUGCACGGAUAAUAUUUAAACUGAACUGAGCUGAAUGAUGACAUCACUGAAUUCAAUGAUGAAC